This 1669-nucleotide long non-coding RNA is filed under the name Struthio camelus australis. RNAcentral describes it as "lncRNA (ENSSCUG00000019007.1)". Lineage: Eukaryota; Metazoa; Chordata; Aves; Struthioniformes; Struthionidae. The record is from RNAcentral.
UCAAGAGCACGCAUACACCAACAGCCCGCUGCCUCCCAGAAAUGCAGGAAUCGCUGUGCCUGUCUUGUACAAAACUCUUGUUCGAGAGUACUUGUACAAAACACAGUUCUGCUGUGCUUUGAGAUCACUUCACCCUGAUCAAGCUUCAUCCUUGUGCUGUUGUGUCACCCUGUGGUGACAGCUGAUAUGACAUGCAAACUAAAAGAAAUCUUAAUUUAGCAGCUUGGGAGCUCCUAGUUGAAGUGUGAUUACACAAGAUGAAACCUUUGCCUUGGCCCUUCCUCACCAUAUGGAACUGCAGAUGAGAAGGUUUUAAGUUUCCCUUAUAUAUAAGAUAUGGAAGCAGAGGGACUCUUCUCAGCUGGAAUGCAUCAGCCGUGCUGCUGAAAUCAGCACGUUACACCAGCCGAGCACGUGGCCUGAAGUGUCUGUGCACAGGGUGCAGGGAGGAUGUUCACUCAGGAGACCUUUCAGCAGUGGAAAGAGGAGCAUGUUGUUUUGCUGCUAUGCCAGAAGGGCAGCAUCCAUCUCACUGAGCCAGCUGCUGAGCUCCAUGUUUUGAGGAGGCUACUACAGCAGACUGCGACUCUCAAGCUUUUCAAGCCCAGAAGGAUUGGAGAGGAAACAGAGGAAAUGACUGGCAGCUAUGUGACUAUACUGAAAAAUUAGUUUCUUUUAAGAGGACGCUGCGAUACUAUCAAGUUAUUAUUCCUCUGCUGUGUACACUACGCUCUCUGAAAACAUUUGGUUACUCUCUUUUCUUGCAGAUCAGUUGGAGAAGAGCGCUGUGUUCUUCUUCACCCUAGUGAGAGCAGAGAACAUGAUCUGAAAUGAGAUUAUUUGAACCAGCACUGCUGCCGUAGGGACUGACUGUGCUAAUCAAACACAGCCCUGCAUAAGGCCAGUUUGGUGACAUAUCGCCACGUUCUAGCAAGAACUGUGUUCCCAGAAAUGCCUCCCUCGCUCUACAAUGAGCUAGGGAAGCCUAGCCCAUCUGGCCAGUCUCCUGGACCAGCAAAAGGUCCCACCUUCUCUUUCUCCCCCAGCAUGAUUUUACAUAUCAAGUACACUUGAAGAGAAUUCAUAAUGCUCAGGACUUGCGGAGACCCUGCUCCCUUAGCAGUAUGGAGAACCAAUGAGGAAGCCCCUUUUACCAUCUUGUCUGGACAUAGACAUCAGUUCCAGACAACCUCUGAGCCAUACACUAACAUUUUGAUCUUUAUGUGGACUUUGACUUGUGUGUGCAAACACCGGAAUUUUUUUCAGAACCACUAUGAACUAUGAACAUGCCUUUGAGGAGAGCCCUGCCAGUCAGCGACAUGGCUAAUCAUGCUCUGCGUUACAACGAAUCCUGCCCUCAAGCUACAGCUCCCACCAAAAUCAGGAAAACAGGGAAGAAGGCCUUUAAAAAAACCUUUAAACUGCCAUGCCUGUAGCCUAUCUGCUUUGCCCAUCAUGAUAAGCAAUUUAUCCAGCAUCUUGCCUUAUUCAUGUCACUAGGAAAAUCUUUGCCCUGUACAGAAUGAUCAAACAUAGAAUUAUCUAUUCCUUUUUCCAAGCAAGUAUAUUGGGUACUUUGACUCAUGCUCUUGGAGGGCUGUUUUUACAAUUGCUGCCCUUGGAACUACACCUUAAAACUCUUAGUUCAUAUUCUUAAAUAAUUUUCACA